Molecule: small RNA, 78 nt
Organism: Hucho hucho (huchen)
Lineage: Eukaryota; Metazoa; Chordata; Actinopteri; Salmoniformes; Salmonidae
Source: Ensembl
CCCUAGCCCUGAUGGAAACGGCAUCCUUUUUAUUUUUCCUUUAAAAAUAAAAAGAUAUAGUGGACAGCAGGAAUUAGC